AGAAUCAACGCUGGCGGCGUGCCUAAUACAUGCAAGUCGAACGCGAAAGUCCCGCAAGGGAUGAGUAGAGUGGCAAACGGGUGAGUAACGCGUGGGUGACCUGCCUUCGAGUGGGGGAUAACGUUUCGAAAGGAACGCUAAUACCGCACUGACAUCCUGCUUUUUAACAGGCGGAGAUCAAAGCCGGGGAUCGCAAGACCUGGCGCUUGAAGAGGGGCCCGCGUCCGAUUAGCUAGGUUGGUGGGGUAAUGGCUCACCAAGGCAUCGAUCGGUA
Molecule: ribosomal RNA, 274 nt
Filed under: uncultured soil bacterium
Lineage: Bacteria
Description: partial 16S ribosomal RNA
Rfam family: Bacterial small subunit ribosomal RNA
Source: RNAcentral